UAGGGUAUAGUGUAAUUGGUAGCACGGAGAGUUUUGAGUUCUCAGGUGUAGGUUCAAGUCCUAUAACUCUAG
Molecule: transfer RNA, 72 nt
Filed under: Eozapus setchuanus (Chinese jumping mouse)
Lineage: Eukaryota; Metazoa; Chordata; Mammalia; Rodentia; Dipodidae
Description: tRNA-Gln
Rfam family: tRNA
About the family: Transfer RNA (tRNA) molecules are approximately 80 nucleotides in length. Their secondary structure includes four short double-helical elements and three loops (D, anti-codon, and T loops).
Source: RNAcentral